This is a long non-coding RNA of Anguilla anguilla (European eel), 784 nucleotides long. RefSeq lists it as uncharacterized. The record is from RefSeq and is a predicted model, not a curated record. The transcript has 3 exons. NCBI's taxonomy places the organism in Eukaryota, Metazoa, Chordata, Actinopteri, Anguilliformes, Anguillidae.
AAUGCAAAUGGGAAACACAAGGGCAUGAAGAGAGCAGGCAAGGGCGUGGGGCCUGGUGCUGGAGGAGAGCUGGCCUCCUCUGGGGACCGGCGUCAUUUGGAUUCAGAGAAAGUAAUUUUCAUAGAGCAAUGAAGAGCAAAGCGCUCCGUCUGCAUGCCCAACCAUGAGCGCACUCCGAGCCGAGAUUCCCCCCGCACGCAAAAAAAAAAGUACAAAGUGAUGCAUUUUGAACUCGAGAGAGGUCCACCGACGGAGGCCGCUCUGAAUACAAAUGCCUGGAUUUCUCUGUGGUAUGCAAAACGAAUGGAACUUCUUCAGAAUCUCUUCUCCGGGGUAGGUUUCACGGUACGCUGAAGAUUGGAUGCCACGUGUGCCGCAACAAAGGGCCAACGCCCUGAAGGGGAAAAUCAGCAGCUACGCCAUUUUCUAGGUGAAAGCUUUGCGUGCUCUUGGAAGGUCAAAGCACACCAGGAGCGGCAUGCUGCUGGAGCUCAGGGGGCUCCAUUGUCUUUACUGCAGUGCUGCAGUCAACCUCACCAAGGUUAUAUCCAGAAGAAAGGGAAUGGAUCACCCCAAACCAUCAUACCAGCCAGUGCUGCAGGACCAGCCGGUGAGAUCCGGAAGCACUUUGCACUCCUCUCCAUCCAGGCAGGGAUGCAUCUGACACCACCAUUUCUGCAGCACGAUGGAGGCUGGACAACAACACAAGAGAAGGAAAGUGCUGAGUAUUAACCGCAGCUAGCACUGAUCCAACCUCUCCCACAACCCAGCACACUGAUCCAAC